Molecule: long non-coding RNA, 1955 nt
Organism: Equus asinus (donkey)
Lineage: Eukaryota; Metazoa; Chordata; Mammalia; Perissodactyla; Equidae
Source: Ensembl
GGGCAACGCCAGCUUCCUCGGAAGAAAUGAAGAGGCUGCAACUUUGCAAAUUCUUGCACAAGGGUGAGGCCGUUGCAGGAACUUACUUUUCUGGAAGCAAUGUUCUGUUGCAUGACAUCACGAGAAAGUUCAUGACAUUCAUACUUCUGGCCCCUCCGUGGAUAACAAUUUGUACAUCUUUCAUUUCUAACCGUACCCUGAGAGAUCAUUUCUCUAACGAAACGAAUGUUCGGCAGUGGAAUGCCGUACCUAGCACUGAAUUAUAACUUUGGGCGAGUGAGAUUAGCGGUCAAGAUAGUAAAACAAUCUUCGGCGAUCAUCCUACAGCUUCUGGGUCACACCACUGCCGUCUCCAGACUUCUCGAGGACACAACUUAUAUCUUGUUUUUUUAUCUAAUCUCAUCCAACUGGCACGAAGUGCGUCCUCCAAAGUUUCAGCGAACAAAUGCCUUUGUUGUUCAUUUGCAUCCUGAACGAAAUUGUGAGGAAGUUAAUUUGCAUCUCUAAGGCUAAUUUAUCUGUGACUUGCAAACCUGCUUAUUUCAGGGGCAAGUCAAGCAUCCUUGGCUUGUCUGCUUUCAAUGCCUCUCCCGGGCGUUACAGUGUGUUGUGUAAUACAUGCCCAGUGAGUUUUAUCAGGAAUGCCGCACGCGGUUCAUAAAGCUGCCCUCGUACGGCGAGAUUCAGAGGAGGUCAUAUGCAGGAGUGACGAAGUCCACGGAGAGGAUCCUGCUUGAGAAUUGAUUGAAAAACAAAAAUAAACAUCUAAUGGGCGCUAAAAGUCUAAUGAAGCCGUUUAUUUUAUUCAUCUCUAUGUUUGUUUUGAACUUGAGACCUUUCUGUUACAGAGGCGAGGGUGUGGGUUCUUGACCCCAGAAUGAAUUUGUUUAAGAUUCUUUUCCUCCCCAUUGGUGCCUGCACAGUGUUGAAGAAGCCACUCACCUGGACAUCGUUUGUUUACUGUCCUAAAACUAUAAAAAUAAUAAUUUAUUCACAGGCUAUUUUGACAGGAUGAAAUGGAAUAUAACGUUGAUUGUCUAAGGGAUAGAGUAGACGUUAACCAAAGUAUCUUCUUUUCUGGAUGCUCUUUUUAAUAUUAAUACAGAGAGAUUUUUAUUGACUAUCCUUGUUAAGAAAUGUUUGGUUGGAAGCCUCAGUUACACUUGGUACUCGUCUGUUUCCCCAGUUGGAUCCCAGGUCAACUGGGACAUUAUUCCUCUUCAUCUUUCCAUCCCCAGCAUGGAUCUCAACGUCUGACGUGCGACAGUCUUUCAACAAACGACAGUGAUUUCCUCAGCAAGCCUUCACUGUACUUUCGUUGAGAGGGUCAUAGAUUGUAGAGAUUAUUUCAACGUAUUAGCAGACAGUUCUUCCCACAUCUCAGUUUGAGGACGUCAUAGGAUCUUAAUCCAAGGGAGCCGCUGGAAAGCAUCCAUGUUCAAAUUAAUAGGCUGCAUCAAGAGCAGGAGGAACAAAAAGUUGACUUGGGUGACUCAAUACUCAGAAACAAAGUUUCCGCUAAGAAGCUCAGUUUUAUUCAGUCUGGCGAGUGACGAAGGAAGAACAGGCUGCUUUGGACCUCCUGAGAGAUGGACGUAGGUCUCCACCGUGACAUGAAAAUGUGGCCUCAGCAAAACCACCACCGAGGCCAGCAAGAUACUCUUGUAAUUAGUUAAACAAGAAGUCCAUCAGGAUGAGGUGACUCUCAUUGAUAACCUAAAGAGCAAGCCCAACCCUGAGUCAGAGUUGAUUCCUGCAAAUGCACCCAAAUUUGAGAAAACAAACAGCCGUUCAUAAACAGCCAACCAGCCUUUCCCAAAUAAGGCAUCCGCUUAUGCCAUCGCCUAUCGAAUAAUCUCCUUGCUUUGCUGCUGCAUCUGCCCUAUAAAACGUUUCCCCUGGCCUGUCCGCCCCCCGGAACCACGUUAGGUGUGGCGCUGCCCAUUUGGAACCCC